Molecule: transfer RNA, 71 nt
Filed under: Henicus brevimucronatus
Lineage: Eukaryota; Metazoa; Arthropoda; Insecta; Orthoptera; Anostostomatidae
Description: tRNA-Val
Rfam family: tRNA
About the family: Transfer RNA (tRNA) molecules are approximately 80 nucleotides in length.
Source: RNAcentral
CAAAUUAAAGCUUUAAAGUAAAGUAUUUCAUUUACAUUGAAAUGAUUUUCGUGCAAUUCGAAUUAUUUUGA